AGUGAACGCUGGCGGUAGGCCUAACACAUGCAAGUCGAACGGCAGCACAGUAAGAGCUUGCUCUUACGGGUGGCGAGUGGCGGACGGGUGAGGAAUACAUCGGAAUCUACUUUUUCGUGGGGGAUAACGUAGGGAAACUUACGCUAAUACCGCAUACGACCUACGGGUGAAAGCAGGGGAUCUUCGGACCUUGCGCGAUUGAAAGAGCCGAUGUCGGAUUAGCUAGUUGGCGGGGUAAAGGCCCACCAAGGCGACGAUCCGUAGCUGGUCUGAGAGGAUGAUCAGCCACACUGGAACUGAGACACGGUCCAGACUCCUACGGGAGGCAGCAGUGGGGAAUAUUGGACAAUGGGCGCAAGCCUGAUCCAGCCAUACCGCGUGGGUGAAGAAGGCCUUCGGGUUGUAAAGCCCUUUUGUUGGGAAAGAAAAGCAGCAGGUUAAUACCCCGCUGUUCUGACGGUACCCAAAGAAUAAGCACCGGCUAACUUCGUGC
Molecule: ribosomal RNA, 493 nt
Filed under: uncultured bacterium
Lineage: Bacteria
Description: partial 16S ribosomal RNA
Rfam family: Bacterial small subunit ribosomal RNA
Source: RNAcentral